AUUGAACGCUGGCGGCAGGCCUAACACAUGCAAGUCGAGCGGAUGAAGGGAGCUUGCUCCUGGAUUCAGCGGCGGACGGGUGAGUAAUGCCUAGGAAUCUGCCUGGUAGUGGGGGAUAACGUCCGGAAACGGGCGCUAAUACCGCAUACGUCCUGAGGGAGAAAGUGGGGGAUCUUCGGACCUCACGCUAUCAGAUGAGCCUAGGUCGGAUUAGCUAGUUGGUGGGGUAAAGGCCUACCAAGGCGACGAUCCGUAACUGGUCUGAGAGGAUGAUCAGUCACACUGGAACUGAGACACGGUCCCGACUCCUACGGGAGGCAGCAGUGGGGAAUAUUGGACUAUGAGAGCAAGCCUGAUCCAGUCAUGCCGCGUGUGUGAAGAAGGUCUUCGGAUUGUAAAGCACUUUAAGUUGGGAGGAAGGGCAGUAAGUUAAUACCUUGCUGUUUUGACGUUACCAACAGAAUAAGCACCGGCUAACUUCGUG
This 484-nucleotide ribosomal RNA is filed under the name uncultured bacterium. RNAcentral's name for it is "partial 16S ribosomal RNA". It matches the Rfam family "Bacterial small subunit ribosomal RNA", at positions 30 to 507 of the family's 1533-position model. The record is from RNAcentral.